This 847-nucleotide long non-coding RNA is filed under the name Citrus maxima (pomelo). RNAcentral's name for it is "long non-coding RNA (CMAX_LNC001602)". The record is from RNAcentral. Lineage: Eukaryota; Viridiplantae; Streptophyta; Magnoliopsida; Sapindales; Rutaceae.
UCCAUAAUUUGGUAUUGUAACUAUUAUUAUUUAUUACAAUAUUUGUCAUAUUAUUUAUUGUAAUUAUUCCAAAAACAUAUUAUUAAUAAUCAUAACAAAUAAUAAUAAAAUGAUAAUAGUAAUGGUAAAAUUAAUAGAAUUACUAGUAAUAAACAUGACGAUAAACACAACAAUAAUAAUAUAUGAUGAAAAAAGAAAAAAAUAACAAUAAUCAAAAUCAUCAUCAUCAUAUUUGCAAGGUGAAGCUGCUUCCUCCAUGUGAGAUCGACAGCAGAUAGCUAUUUCCAUCGAGAUCGGCUGGCAACGCAUCGGUAGCUGCUGUUUCUGGCAAUGGCAGGUGCUGCUGUUGCCAUGUUGGGUGCUGCUGGUUCGACGAAUUAGGGAGCUGAUGCUUUGAUGUGCUAACAAUGGCAAGUGCUGCUACUCAAUGCCGGAUUGAUGGCCGGGCAUCAGCAGCUGCACGAUCGGCGAUGGCAGGUGCUAUGGUGCUGGUUUGGAUCUAUGUUGCUGCAUGUUUCCGUGGCGUCUCGGUUUUUGUUUUUAUUUGUUAUUUUAUAAUUUCAUGGAUUAACAAGGACAAAGUGGAAAUUUAAAAAUUUGAAUCCAAGUAUUUUUGUCAAUGAAUGGGGUUCUGAUGCCUAGUCUCCUUCUCUUUGGAAUCGGAAUUUUAGUAAUGAUUUCUGAAAAUUGUAGGCUCCACCGAAAUUUCAUUCCAAUUUUAAGUUUUUAUUUUGCAAGUAAACGAUUUAUUCAUUUCGAUUUUAGAAAUCUCAUUCUUAUUAUUUGUACGUAAAGGUUCCCUUAAUAAAAUGGACAACAAAAUUAUUGACAAGUAGAUUGUCCUAAU